GACGAACGCUGGCGGCGUGCUUAACACAUGCAAGUCGAACGGUAAGGCCCUUCGGGGUACACGAGUGGCGAACGGGUGAGUAACACGUGGGUGAUCUGCCCUGCACUUCGGGAUAAGCCUGGGAAACUGGGUCUAAUACCGGAUAGGACUCCUGGCUUCAUGGUUGGGGGUGGAAAGCUUUUGCGGUGUGGGAUGGGCCCGCGGCCUAUCAGCUUGUUGGUGGGGUAAUGGCCUACCAAGGCGACGACGGGUAGCCGGCCUGAGUGGGUGACCGGUCACACUGGGACUGAGAUACGGCCCAGACUCCUACGGGAGGCAGCAGUGGGGAAUAGUGCACAAUGGGCGCAAGCCUGAUGCAGCGACGCCGCGUGAGGGAUGACGGCCUUCGGGUUGUAAACCUCUUUCAGCUAUGACGAAGCGCAAGUGACGGUAGUAGCAGAAGAAGGACCGGCCAACUACGUGCCAGCAGCCGCGGUAA
This 478-nucleotide ribosomal RNA is filed under the name uncultured bacterium. RNAcentral describes it as "partial 16S ribosomal RNA". It matches the Rfam family "Bacterial small subunit ribosomal RNA", at positions 28 to 523 of the family's 1533-position model. The record is from RNAcentral.